This 716-nucleotide ribosomal RNA is filed under the name Salmonella enterica subsp. enterica serovar Berta. RNAcentral describes it as "partial 23S ribosomal RNA". It matches the Rfam family "Bacterial large subunit ribosomal RNA", at positions 1 to 748 of the family's 2925-position model. Lineage: Bacteria; Pseudomonadati; Pseudomonadota; Gammaproteobacteria; Enterobacterales; Enterobacteriaceae. The record is from RNAcentral.
GGGUUGUGAGGUUAAGCGACUAAGCGUACACGGUGGAUGCCCUGGCAGUCAGAGGCGAUGAAGGGCGUGCUAAUCUGCGAUAAGCGCCGGUAAGGUGAUAUGAACCGUUAUAACCGGCGAUACCCGAAUGGGGAAACCCAGUGUGAUUCGUCACACUAUCAUUAACUGAAUCCAUAGGUUAAUGAGGCGAACCGGGGGAACUGAAACAUCUAAGUACCCCGAGGAAAAGAAAUCAACCGAGAUUCCCCCAGUAGCGGCGAGCGAACGGGGAGGAGCCCAGAGCCUGAAUCAGCAUGUGUGUUAGUGGAAGCGUCUGGAAAGGCGCGCGAUACAGGGUGACAGCCCCGUACACAAAAGCGCAUGUGCUGUGAGCUCGAUGAGUAGGGCGGGACACGUGGUAUCCUGUCUGAAUAUGGGGGGACCAUCCUCCAAGGCUAAAUACUCCUGACUGACCGAUAGUGAACCAGUACCGUGAGGGAAAGGCGAAAAGAACCCCGGCGAGGGGAGUGAAAAAGAACCUGAAACCGUGUACGUACAAGCAGUGGGAGCACAGGUUUACCUGUGUGACUGCGUACCUUUUGUAUAAUGGGUCAGCGACUUAUAUUCUGUAGCAAGGUUAACCGUAUAGGGGAGCCGGAGGGAAACCGAGUCUUAAUUGGGCGUUAAGUUGCAGGGUAUAGACCCGAAACCCGGUGAUCUAGCCAUGGGCAGGUUGA